Molecule: ribosomal RNA, 253 nt
Filed under: uncultured bacterium
Lineage: Bacteria
Description: partial 16S ribosomal RNA
Rfam family: Bacterial small subunit ribosomal RNA
Source: RNAcentral
UACGUAGGUGGCAAGCGUUGUCCGGAUUUAUUGGGUUUAAAGGGUGUGUAGGCGGGUCUUUAAGUCAGUGGUGAAAUCUCCGAGCUCAACUUGGAAACUGCCAUUGAUACUAUUGAUCUUGAAUUUUGUUGAGGUAGGCGGAAUAAGUCAUGUAGCGGUGAAAUGCAUAGAUAUGACUUAGAACACCAAUUGCGAAGGCAGCUUGCUAAACAAAUAUUGACGCUGAGGCACGAAAGCGUGGGGAUCAAACAGG